GCGUUGUUCGUGAAAACUUCAGCUUAACUGUGGGCGUGCGGGCGAUACGGGCAGACUGGAGUACUGCAGGGGAGACUGGAAUUCCUGGUGUAGCGGUGGAAUGCGCAGAUAUCAGGAGGAACACCGGUGGCGAAGGCGGGUCUCUGGGCAGUAACUGACGCUGAGGAGCGAAAGCGUGGGGAGCGAACAGGAUUAGAUACCCUGGUAGUCCACGCCGUAAACGGUGGGUACUAGGUGUGGGUUUCCUUCCUUGGGAUCCGUGCCGUAGCUAACGCAUUAAGUACCCCGCCUGGGGAGUACGGCCGCGAGGCUAAAACUCAGAGGAAUUGACGGGGGCCCGCACAAGCGGCGGAGCAUGUGGAUUAAUUCGAUGCAACGCGAAGAACCUUACCUGGGUUUGACAUGCACAGGACGCCGGUAGAGAUGUCGGUUCCCUUGUGGCCUGUGUGCAGGUGGUGCAUGGCUGUCGUCAGCUCGUGUCGUGAGAUGUUGGGUUAAGUCCCGCAACGAGCGCAACCCUUGUCCUAUGUU
RNAcentral lists this ribosomal RNA (531 nucleotides) under uncultured bacterium. RNAcentral describes it as "bacterial SSU rRNA". It matches the Rfam family "Bacterial small subunit ribosomal RNA", at positions 585 to 1116 of the family's 1533-position model. The record is from RNAcentral.